GACAGACAGACAGACAUGACGAAUCUAUAAGGGUUCCGUUUUUUGCCAUUUGGCUACGGAACCCUAAAAAGCGGCCAAGUGCGAGUCGGACUCGCCCAUGAAGGGUUCCGUAUUUAGGCGAUUUAUGACGUAUAAAAAAAACUACUUACUAGAUCUCGUUCAAACCAAUUUUCGGUGGAAGUUUACAUGGUAAUGUACAUCAUAUAUUUUUUUUAGUUUUAUCAUUCUCUUAUUUUAGAAGUUAGAGGGGGGGGGGGGACACAUUUUACCACUUUGGAAGUGUCUCUCGCGCAAACUAUUCAGUUUAGAAAAAAAUGAUAUUAGAAACCUUAAUAUCAUUUUUGAAGACCUAUCCAUAGAUACCCCACACGUAUGGGUUUGAUGAAAAAAAAAAUUUUGAGUUUCAUUUUAUGACGUAUUAAAAAAAAACUACUUACUAGAUCUCGUUCAAACCAAUUUUCGGUGGAAGUUUACACGGUAAUGUACAUCAUAUAUUUUUUUUAGUUUUAU
Molecule: long non-coding RNA, 510 nt
Organism: Cydia amplana
Lineage: Eukaryota; Metazoa; Arthropoda; Insecta; Lepidoptera; Tortricidae
Exons: 2
Source: RefSeq, a predicted model, not a curated record